UACAGAGGGUGCUAGCGUUGUUCGGAAUCACUGGGCGUAAAGGGCGUGUAGGUGGCAAGGUGUGUCUGACGUGAAAUCCCUCGGCUUAACUGAGGAAGUGCAUCGGAAACUACCUUGCUCGAGUGCGAGAGAGGGUGGCGGAAUUCCCAGAGUAGAGGUGAAAUUCGUAGAUACUGGGAGGAACACCAGAGGCGAAGGCGGCCACCUGGUUCGUAACUGACACUGAGACGCGAAAGCGCGGGGAGCAAACAGG
This 253-nucleotide ribosomal RNA is filed under the name uncultured bacterium. RNAcentral's name for it is "partial 16S ribosomal RNA". It matches the Rfam family "Bacterial small subunit ribosomal RNA", at positions 524 to 776 of the family's 1533-position model. The record is from RNAcentral.